UACGUAGGAGGCAAGCGUUAUCCGGAAUGACUGGGCGUAAAGGGUGCGUAGGUGGUUCAGCAAGUUAGUAGCGUAACUCCGGAGCUCAACUUCGGAACUACUACUAAAACUGUUGAACUUGAGUGCAGGAGGGGCAACUGGAAUUCCUAGUGUAGCGGUGGAAUGCGUAGAUAUUAGGAGGAACACCAGUGGCGAAGGCGAGUUGCUGGACUGUAACUGACACUGAGGCACGAAAGCGUG
This 240-nucleotide ribosomal RNA is filed under the name uncultured bacterium. RNAcentral describes it as "partial 16S ribosomal RNA". It matches the Rfam family "Bacterial small subunit ribosomal RNA", at positions 524 to 763 of the family's 1533-position model. The record is from RNAcentral.